AUUACGCUGCAUUGUACGUAAUGAUAAUUAAGUUUUAACCUUUAAGCUGUAAUAGGGAGUUUUAUAUCGGAACCGGAAUGUCAUGCCUUCCUCGAAAGGACGACAGGAAACGUUUCUGCAGACACCCACUUUGAGGAGUGUGGUUUAAAACUUUCUUACUUGCAUACGGCAAUUGCAGCACUUAA
This 185-nucleotide non-coding RNA is filed under the name Bacillus sp. H15-1. RNAcentral's name for it is "6S RNA". It matches the Rfam family "6S / SsrS RNA". Rfam says of the family: E. coli 6S RNA was the first non coding RNA to be sequenced, but its function was unknown until recently. It consists of 184 nucleotides that fold into an extended hairpin structure with a large single-stranded internal bulge. Lineage: Bacteria; Bacillati; Bacillota; Bacilli; Caryophanales; Bacillaceae. The record is from RNAcentral.